UGGUACCACAAGGGAGGCUAGAUCUUCUUGUCUUGUUUUUGGAUUUUUUGGUUUCUUUUUUGAAUUGAGAUCAUGGGCAAGAAAAAACAUGCAAGAAUUUUCUGGGUACCUUGGUGUUUUAGGUAUCUUCUAAAAUUUGUUUGAUCUCCAUACUCUUAUUUGUUUCUUGGUGCUUUAGGAAGGUAUCUGAACGAAUUAUUAAAUUUCUAGCAAUGUAGAAUUAUGAGUUGAUGUACACAAUAUUUACAGACAAGGUACUAAGUUUAAGAAGGUACUUAAUUAGUACUUCUGGUUGUACUCGUAGUGUAUAUGAGUAUUGCCGGGUACUUUAAUUGAUGAGGUACUAAGAGGUUGAGAAGGUACUUUGUAUUUUUAAU
RNAcentral lists this long non-coding RNA (377 nucleotides) under Brachypodium distachyon (stiff brome). Its description in RNAcentral is "long non-coding RNA (BDIS_LNC001262)". Lineage: Eukaryota; Viridiplantae; Streptophyta; Magnoliopsida; Poales; Poaceae. The record is from RNAcentral.